RNAcentral lists this unclassified non-coding RNA (220 nucleotides) under soil metagenome. RNAcentral describes it as "partial contains 5.8S ribosomal RNA, internal transcribed spacer 2, and large subunit ribosomal RNA". The record is from RNAcentral.
AAGACUAUAGACCUGCGGAGUACCUGCGGAAGGAUCAUUACAGAGUUCAUGCCCUCACGGGUAGAUCUCCCACCCUUGAAUACUAUACCUUUGUUGCUUUGGCGGGCCGCUUUGGCUACUGGCUCUGGCUAGUAAGUGCCCGCCAAAGAACUCCAAAACUCUGAAUAUUAGUGUCGUCUGAGUACUAUAUAAUAGUUAAAACUUUCAACAACGGAUCUCU